ACGCGUGGGUAACCUGCCUUAUACAGGGGGAUAACAGUCAGAAAUGACUGCUAAUACCGCAUAAUGUCACAGUAUCGCAUGGUACAGUGACCAAAGGAGCAAUCCGCUGAAAGAUGGACUCGCGUCCGAUUAGCUAGUUGGCGGGAUAAAGGCCCACCAAGGCGACGAUCGGUAGCCGGACUGAGAGGUUGAUCGGCCACAUUGGGACUGAGACACGGCCCAGACUCCUACGGGAGGCAGCAUG
This 244-nucleotide ribosomal RNA is filed under the name uncultured bacterium. RNAcentral's name for it is "partial 16S ribosomal RNA". It matches the Rfam family "Bacterial small subunit ribosomal RNA", at positions 113 to 353 of the family's 1533-position model. The record is from RNAcentral.